Molecule: ribosomal RNA, 253 nt
Filed under: uncultured bacterium
Lineage: Bacteria
Description: partial 16S ribosomal RNA
Rfam family: Bacterial small subunit ribosomal RNA
Source: RNAcentral
UACGAAGGGGGCUAGCGUUGCUCGGAAUUACUGGGCGUAAAGCGCACGUAGGCGGCUUUCUAAGUCGGGGGUGAAAUCCUGGAGCUCAACUCCAGAACUGCCUUCGAUACUGGAAAGCUCGAGUCCGGGAGAGGUGAGUGGAACUCCGAGUGUAGAGGUGAAAUUCGUAGAUAUUCGGAAGAACACCAGUGGCGAAGGCGACUCACUGGCCCGUUACUGACGCUGAGGCGCGAAAGCGUGGGGAGCAAACAGG